ACUGCAGGGAAAAGUCCCACAGAGCUGAGCAGUCAUGAUGUGUGACUUCACCGAGGAUCAGACUGCAGAGUUCAAGGAGGCCUUCCAGCUGUUUGACCGAAUAGGUGAUGGCAAGAUCCUGUGCAACCAAUGUGGGGAUGUGAUGAGGGCACUGGGUCAGAACCCCACCAACACUGAGGUGCUCAAGGUUCUAGGGAACCCCAAGAGUAAUGAGAUGAACGUGAAGGUGCUAGAAUUUGAGCACCUUCUGCCCAUACUGCGGCCAAGAACAAGGACCAGGGCACUUAUGAAGAUUAUGUAGAAGGACUUCAGGUGUUUGACAAGGAAGGAAAUGGCACCGUCAUGGGUGUUGAAUUCUGGCUUGUUCUUGUCACACUGGGUGAGAAGAUAACAGAGGAAGAGGUAGAGGUGCUGGUGGCAGGGAAUGAGGGCAGCAAUGGUUGUAUCAACUAUGAAACAUUUGUGAGGCACAUCCUGUCGGGGUGACAGGCCCAUGGGGCAGCUCAUCCUUAUGGUGCUGAAUGGCUGAGGACCUUCCCAGUCUCCCAUAGCCCAUGUCUCCCCCUGGUG
Molecule: RNA transcript, 570 nt
Organism: Cercocebus atys (sooty mangabey)
Lineage: Eukaryota; Metazoa; Chordata; Mammalia; Primates; Cercopithecidae
Gene name: myosin light polypeptide 6-like
Exons: 1
Source: RefSeq, a predicted model, not a curated record